RNAcentral lists this ribosomal RNA (468 nucleotides) under uncultured bacterium. RNAcentral's name for it is "partial 16S ribosomal RNA". It matches the Rfam family "Bacterial small subunit ribosomal RNA", at positions 28 to 507 of the family's 1533-position model. The record is from RNAcentral.
GACGAACGCUGGCGGCGUGCUUAACACAUGCAAGUCGAACGGAAAGGCCCUGCUUUUGUGGGGUGCCCGAGUGGCGAACGGGUGAGUAACACGUGAGUAACCUGCUCUUCAUUUUGGGAUAACUUCAGGAAACUGGGGUUAAUAUCGGACAGGAGCCCCUGUUGCAUGGUGGGGGUUGGAAAGUUUCGGCGGGAGCGGAUGGAUUCGCGGCUUACCGGUUUGCUGGUUGGGUAGUGGCAGACCAAGCAUGUGACGGAUAGGCGGCCUGUGAGGGUGACCGGCCACAAUGGGACUGAGGUACGGCCCAGACUCCUACGGGAGACAACAGGGGGGAGUAUUACACAGUGAGCGGGAGCCUGAUGCAGCGACGCCGCGUGCGGGAAGACGGCCUUCGGGUAGAGAACCGCUUUAGCCUGUGACGAAGCGUGAGUGACGGUAAUGGGUGAAGAAGCACCGGCUAACUACGUG